UUAUGCUUGAGUUACAAUAACUUCUCUUGCUGUGGCAAGAUAUCAAAUUUUGUCAUGGCGCCAUGGAAACGCCCUUUAACAAAAACUCAAGAUCUCCAAAAGUUAACAUUGCACAGGCCUUUAGAUUAGACUGACCACAAAAUAUAUGUUAAUCUCAAAAAAAUUAUAGGAGUAGUUUGUCGCAGCGUAAAACAUGUCACUUCCUGUUGCCAAUAGGUGGCGCUAUGACUAUAACUGAAUGUGGGCAUGUAGAUCUGUUAAGGGCAGAAGUUUUAUCUAACAUGUGAAGUUUGGGGCAGAUUGGACAUUGUAUGUCUGAGUUACAGCAACUUCCUUUUUCAUGGCGAAACAUCGAAAUUUGUCAGGCCGCCAUGGACACGCCCUUUAACGAAAUCUAAAGAUCUUCGCAAUUUAACAUCGCAAAGGGCUUAAGAUUACACUGACCAGGUUUGGUGUUGAUCUGACUAAAUCUCUAGGAGGAGUUCGUUAAAGUACAACCCCUGAAAAUGGCAAAAACAACGCCAAUUUUGCAGAGAAAAUUCUAAAUAACCGACUUCCUGUUGGGAUUCGGAUUUCGUACCAAGAUACUUUUUUGUAGGUAUUGGUGUGUUACAUAUGUAUACCGAUUUUUGUACAUGUACGUGAAACAUAGCUCGAGGCGCAUUCUGUUGAAAGUGUAUAGGUGGCGCUAUCGAGCCAUUUUGCCACACCUGAUGGAAUUUUGGCCUUCAGAUGUGUUCAGGCCAGGACUCUUAUCACACAUGUGCAGUUUGGGGAAGAUCGGACAUUUUAUGCCUGAGUUAUAACAUAUUUUAUUCCCAUGGCGAGACAUCGAACUUCGUGACGGCGCCAUGGACACGCCUUUUAACGAAAACUCAAGAUCUUCACAACUUAACAUCGCACAGGCCUUUAGAUUAGACUGACCACAAAAAAUACAUUGAUGUCAUAAAAUUUCUAGGAGUAGUUCAUCGCAGUGUAAAAUAUGUCACUUCCUGUUGCCAAUAGGUGGCGCUAUGACUAUAACUGAAUAUGGGCAUGUCAAUCUGUUCAGGUCAGGAGUCUCAUCAAACAUGUGAAGUUUGGGGCAGAUUGGUCAUUGUAUGUCUGAGUUAUAGCAACUUCCUGUUUCAUGGCGAAUCAUCGAAAUUCGCCAGGCCGCCACGGACACGCCCAUUAACGAAAACUCAAAAGCUUCGCAAUUUAACAUCGCAAAGGCCUUCAGAUUAGGCAUACCAAAUUUGGUGUUGAUCUGAAUGAAUCUCUAGGAGGAGUUCGUUAAAAUACAACGCAUGGAAAUGACAAAAAUGACACAAAAUUUGCUCAUAAUAUUAGUAAUAACCGACUUCCUGUUGGGUUUCGGAUUUUGCUCCAAGAGACUUUUUUGUAGGUAUUGGAGAGUUACAUGAGUAUACCGAUUUUCAUACAUGUACAUGAAACGUAGCUCGAGGCGCACACCGUUGAACGUGUAUAGGUGGCGCUGUUGAACCAUUUUGCCACACCCACUUCUGAAACCCAUAUCAGACGUAAAUUUUCGCCAGUUCUGAGGUGUGUGCAAAGUUUCAUGACUUUUCGAGCAUGUUUAGGCCCUCAAAAAUGCGAUUCAUUUUGGAGAAGAAGAAUAAUAAUAAUAAUAAUAAUAAUAAUAAUAAUAAUAAACGGAGCAAUUCCAAGAGGGUCCUCACACCAUCGGUGCUCGGGCCCUAAUAAUUAAAGCUGCAAGCAGCGAUGAACGGGCCCUCGCACCCGGGCUCACCGCCAUCGUGUGGCUUUAGUAAAAAGGUGAACGUUGAGAAAUAUGCAUUUAAUGUCCUAAAUAUAAGUGGAAUAUAUCAAAGUAUAUCCCAUAUAUGUGCCAAUCUUACCGUUGCCAGCAGGUGGCGCUAUCAUUAUAAUGGAAUAUUGGCCUUCAGAUGUGUUCAGGCCAGGACUCUUAUCAAACAUGUGAAGUUUGGGGAAGACUGAACAUUUUAUGCUUGAGUUACAACAACUUCUCUUGCUGUGGCAAGACAUCAAAUUUUGUCAUGGCGCCAUGGAAACGCCCUUGCUGUGGCAAGACAUCAAAUUUUGUCAUGGCGCCAUGGAAACGCCCUUUAACAAAAACUCAAGAUCUCCAAAAGUUAACAUUGCACAGGCAUUUAGAUUAGACUGACCACAAAAUAUAUGUUAAUCUCAAAAAAAUUAUAGGAGUAGUUUGUCGCAGUGUAAAACAUGUCACUUCCUGUUGCCAAUAGGUGGCGCUAUGACUAUAACUGAAUGUGGGCAUGUAGAUCUGUUAAGGGCAGAAGUUUUAUCUAACAUGUGAAGUUUGGGGCAGAUUGGACAUUGUAUGUCUGAGUUACAGCAACUUCCUUUUUCAUGGCGAAACAUCGAAAUUUGUCAGGCCACCAUGGACACGCCCUUUAACGAAAUCUAAAGAUCUUCGCAAUUUAACAUCGCAAAGGGCUUAAAAUUACA
Carassius gibelio (silver crucian carp) is the source of this 2454-nucleotide long non-coding RNA. RefSeq lists it as uncharacterized. The transcript is spliced from 3 exons. Lineage: Eukaryota; Metazoa; Chordata; Actinopteri; Cypriniformes; Cyprinidae. The record is from RefSeq and is a predicted model, not a curated record.